RNAcentral lists this non-coding RNA (135 nucleotides) under Humibacillus sp. The record is from RNAcentral. Lineage: Bacteria; Bacillati; Actinomycetota; Actinomycetes; Micrococcales; Intrasporangiaceae.
CGCGUGCAACGGUUCGCGAGUACCCGAUGGACGAUGGGGCAAGCCGGCGAACCUCCGGCGCUGACCCGCAACCGUGACACCGCCUAAUAGAACCGGGCGGUCAGCCGGAAAACCCGCGCCCGUCGGCUCCAUUGU